Long non-coding RNA from Drosophila gunungcola (fruit fly), 1230 nucleotides. RefSeq lists it as uncharacterized. The transcript is spliced from 3 exons. The record is from RefSeq and is a predicted model, not a curated record. NCBI's taxonomy places the organism in Eukaryota, Metazoa, Arthropoda, Insecta, Diptera, Drosophilidae.
ACUUCUUUCUUGUUGAUAUUUCUAGAAUAAAAACAAAACAACACAUAAAGCAAAUUACCACAGUGGAAAUUCGGUACAUUGCAGCGUACAUCGGCAAUGUCGCGACAUUAACAUGUUAAAUAUCUGAACAUAUGGCGGUAUUCGGUAACGUAAACCGUAAUGCAACUAUAUCAGGUGGUCUCAUCAGCUUUGUCGAGGACGUUACAUCUUUAAGAUUUCUCUCUCAGCUUUCACAAAGACGAGCGCUAGAAAGAGCAAAUGCCUAAGGACAUCUUUCGUGGAUCCCCAACCCAAUCUAAUACUCGCUGGCAAGGAGUUAAACAGUCUCAACGGUCUUAAAAUUGGAUCAUUCCGCGCAUAAUUGGUCCUCGCAGCACUUUCCUUAAAUGGGAUGACGGUACGGAGACUCCUGGCUGGGACAUUAAAUUAAAUAGUGGUUAAUAGGAAGGGACUAUCAAUAUUACCAAUUAUUAAAUCAUUGAAAAAAGCAGGCUCGCUAUCGAACGCCUAUCUACAAGACUGCAGGUAUGCAAUAGGCAUUAUUGGCUAGAGUAAGCUGGCAAAGGUUUCGAAAUGUGUAACGGCUGAACUGCAAAUUUUAAGUAUUUUUUCUGCAGCCUAACAAUUCUAUUAAUAUCAACAACGCCUGAAGAGUUCCAAGUGUUUCUUUCAAAAAAUCAGAACAUUGCAUAUGCCUUCGGCAGAAUAUGGUUUAUAUGAUUAAUAAACAAAUUUUAAUACACUGUUUACUGAUUUUGUUCAAGUCAGAUUGUAGCAAAUAACUGUCAUUUCUGGAAUUCACUGACAUGUAAAUUUUAUGGUUAUCCGCAUAAAGAAUAUGCUUGGCAGAUUGAAUGCAGAAACCAAUAUCAAUAAAGAAAAUAUUAAAAACCAAACAACCAAGGACAACUAGCAAACCCGGCGAACUCCGUUUCGCCACCAGAUGGCUUCGUUUUAUGUUACAUUUCGUUCGGUGAUUAAAAGAUAAAAAACAUUUUUUUGUUUUAUAGUUGAAAAGGAAAAAUUUUAUUUAAUUUUCAAACAGUAAUGAAUUUAUUUCGAUUACAUAAAUGAAGUGGUAUUUAGAUGAACUACUAUAAGUUAAUGAAAGUGAAUCCAAAGUAAAUACUGAAUCGAAGCGUUAUACGUGUCCGCAAAUUAUCCGCUUCAAUGAAGUGCUCUUUGGUUAACAUUUUCUGUUUUUUGGUAACACAAACAAAGCGGAUGGGU